GUGGUGGCUCAGUGGUAGAGUGCUCGCCUAGCAUGCAUGAGGCACAGGGUUCAAUCCUCGGCACCACA
RNAcentral lists this transfer RNA (68 nucleotides) under Marmota monax (woodchuck). Its description in RNAcentral is "tRNA.Ala". Lineage: Eukaryota; Metazoa; Chordata; Mammalia; Rodentia; Sciuridae. The record is from RNAcentral.